Suricata suricatta (meerkat) is the source of this 4197-nucleotide long non-coding RNA. RefSeq lists it as uncharacterized. The transcript has 2 exons. The record is from RefSeq and is a predicted model, not a curated record. NCBI's taxonomy places the organism in Eukaryota, Metazoa, Chordata, Mammalia, Carnivora, Herpestidae.
UGGUGCAGGCAGAUGUUCUAUAGGCUGGAAAGGCGUCACGGUGCGCAGUGUGCUGGCCGGGCACCCCAGCCAGGCUGCAGUCUCUGGGGGACAGACACUCACUCACCUUUGGGGUCCCUCUCACACCUCGCUCAUGCCUGCUUCCCAGUGAGGGCUCAAGAAACAUUGCUGAUGAUUGAUGUGGGGAGUGAAGCUGGGGUGAGCAGGAAGGGCAAUGGGGUAGGAGUGGGAGCUGGAGGUGACAGGGAACCCAGCUCCAUUGGCGCCACUCUCAACCCCCCACGACAACGCAGGGCUCUCCUUCCCCCGAUUACCAGCCAGUAUGUGUAGGGCCCCUGCGGUGGCUGCCAGCUUGGCCUUCCUGGAGAGCUCCAGGCUCCCGAUGUUGAUGCAGCGCAGCCCCACCAUGCCUAGGAAGAGGCCCAGGAAGCCCAGGAAGAUGGCGGUGAUCAUGAGCGCCCGGCAGGCCUGGAGGUACCCUGGGGAGGUGGGGCGCAGCCAUGGGUCCCUAAGCUGGCCUCUUCACCCCCUCCCCAUAACUGAGCGAGCCCCUUACGACCAGCCCCUGCUCAGGUCUCAGUCCAUAAGGGCCCUCAAGUCCUGUCCUUCCCUUUUGGGCCCUAUUCAGCUGAAGCGGUGACACCCCCUCCUUCCUAGGAGCUCACCUCAAGGCCCCGCCCCUCCGCCCCUGGCUUCUGCGCACUUUCUUACAGGCUGUCUUCCUUGGCACUACUGACACUUUGGCCAGACAAUGCUGUGGUCUGGGGGCCCAUCCUGUGCCGUGUGGGAUGUUUGGCAGCACCCUUGGCCUCUACCCACUAGAUGUCCCCCAAGAGAGACAAUCAAAAUGUCCAGACAUUGUCAAAUGACCCCUGGGGGACAAAAUCACCUCUGGUUGAGAACCACUGCUCUAUCUGAAGGACAGAAAUUGCAGCUGAGUACUCAGCCCCUGCCCCACACUGCUUCUCUCUAGGUCCCACAGGGCACAACUCUCAGACGUCAGGAACUGAGCUUUCUCCUGCAGCAGCCUGUAGGGGGCAGCAGUUGCCUGUGGGUUACUGGGUGAGGGCAGGUUCUGACCUGGAAAAUGGGAUAUCUGGGCGCAGGACCAAUCCAAGCCCAUUUAGCUCAUAUACGUUUGGCGCCUCAGGUUCCCCUUUCUCAAAGAAGAAGGAAAUGGUCAGCUUCCUUCCUGUCCCCCCCUUCUCUCUGAUACUUGCCAACCACCCCAAGGACCUUGCUCCCCUUUCCUGGGUGGGGCAGUGCCACUGGUGCUGAAGAUGCUGGGUCCCUGCCAGGAGGAUGUGAAGUGGCACGGAGUUGGUGGGUAGAGAGGAGGGACAAAGUUCUCUGGGAGCACUUUCUCAUUCCCAGCCACUCCCUCUGGGGUUCCCGCCCUUCCUCCUACCCCGUGUUCUCUCUGUACCCGUCUCUAUCUGGGGCUGACUAGCCCUGGACCCCCAGAUGGCUGUGGUAGACAAAGGAGAGAUUAUUGAUCAGCUGCGAAGGAGUGUGGGCUGGGCAGCUGUGGGGGAUUAAAUGACAGUCAGGACCCUUCUCGGGGACCAGAGUGGCCUUGGAAGUAGCCGCCAGCCUGGGUUCCAGCGCGCCUACCACCUGUGGGACUGUGGGCAGGUUAACGCUUGGGCUUGUAGUUUUCCAGCUUCGGUGGAACAAGGAAAUGAGGUUACUAGCGUUGUAGACGGCACUGCGCUGGAAUGCGGGAGGGACCUAGCACUAUGUCGGUGCCCAGAUGACGCCCGGUGCUGGGCCAGGCUCUUGCCCCUCCAUCAGCAGUUCCAAGUGGGGCCCUUACAGGCCCACUGCAAAGGCCCUUCCUCACACGCGCUGUGGUUGAGGAGAUGGGUGAGGCGGGAGGGCCAGUGCUGCUAAGCUGGCUGGCUCCAACGUCCCUUCUGGUUACCCAGCAUUCUGGGCUUCUGGUGCAGAUGGUCCCCAGCUUUUAUGGGAGCUUUGGGAAGCAGCGCCCCGCACAUGGCAAAUCCUGGAGGGAGGGGUGAAGGCACGAAGCCCCUACUGCUGCAUCAGGAGAUUCUGGAACAGUAGGGGUACGAGAGACCCACCCAAACCCCCUAGCCACGCAGAGCAUCUGUGUCAUUCCUGGGGCCCUGUGCCACACCCAGUGUUGGCUUUAGUUCCAUCCACUGCCCAGCACCUAUGGUAGGGGACCCGAAAGAGCAUGAUGGCGCCAAGGAGGGUGUGGGAGCAGCACCAAAAAAGGGCCCUGGUCCUCUUCUCCUGGUCUCUGGCAUGGGUCCUAUGGAAGAGAGCCCCCCGAGGGAUGCUGGGUGCCGCUCGUUAGGUGAGGGGGAGCCAGGGACACGGUACUGCACCAAGGAGAGCCCUCUGGACCAAAAGACCUGUAGGUUCCAGCCUGCCCAGAACUUCAAAGACGCCACUGCCCGAGAGCGCUGAACACACACACACACACACACACACACACACGCACACGCAUGCAUGCACACCCGCCCCCCCACCGCAGCUACUUCCACUAGACACUCGGAGCUGUGGAGAGACUCACUUUAAAAGGGCCCUUUAGAAUUCGCUAUGGCAGUAGCACCAAUGCCCGUUAAGUGCCUCAACCCCAAGAACCCAAGAUGGGGCCUCCUCUUCGCCCCCACGGACCCCAGCACUCUCACGGCAAAGCUAAGGUGAACUCGGUGUGCACGCAGGCUAACGUAUCAGGCUCACAUACCAGGCUUUAGCUGCACACUCACAGCCAUCCCAUGGGCCUGUGCUAAUCCCCCCGAGUUUACAGACUGCAUAAACGAAGCUCUUUUCAUCACCUGCCUGAGGCACGGAGCUGGUCAACUGGGCCGGGAAGUCUGGCCCCAGUACCUGCACUUGUAACCACUAGGAGUGUCACCUUAAGGCAGGGGGACACGUGGGAUGAGGUCUCCACGGCGCUCCAGAUUGGGGCUGCCCCCCGCACUCCCAGCUCCCCGAGCUUGACCAGACCUCCCUUAACAGCACAGUGCCCAAGGCCCGACCAUGGGCAGCGGUCACCCUCCCAGGGUCUCUCCCGCCUCCCGCCUCCCACCUCCCUCUGUGCCCCGGAGCUCUCCCCACCCCAUACCGGAGAGGGCCAGCAAGGACGGGAACUCCCGGCAGCUGUAGACUCCCAGGGAGUCGGUGGCACAGCUAAACCAGAGGUUCUCGAAGAUGGUGUUGGUGGUGAUGACGCUCCCAUGCACGGUGGACACUCGCCAGUAGCUGUGUGGCAGGGUCACCCCCAGCAUCAGCAGCCCCAGGGCCGCCAUGAAGAAGCCGAAGAUCUCCACGGCCACCGACAUGGUUCCUGCUUCCCCGAAGGUCUGGGUAGAGGAGUGAGCCCAGAGCGCUGGGCAGCUGUUGACGAGGAGAUGGAGGGAAUCAACGGAACAGGCCAAAAGUCCACCCCCUCCCCCCAGCCUCUGGGCUGCUCUGGGCUCCCCGCCCCAUAAGGGGGGCGGAGAGGACUAAUGGGAGUGACCAACAACGGAUGUACAGAUGCGGCUGAGGGGGGCCUCCAUGGGAGGCAGUGGGAGCCGAGGGGAAGCAGGGAAGCAGCUCUGACUCAGCUCUCAUCCCAGGGCCAGACAAUGGAGAAGGACAAGGAAAGAGAAGGUGACUGAGAGGCAGAGAGUGGCCACAGACAGCCCUUCCAUGGGGCAGGAUCCGGGGAGUGGAGCCACCCUCCUGGAUGUUGGUGAGAACAAUAUAAGAAACUCCAAAGACCUAGAGGGUUUGGGCCAUCGAGUCGCCAAGAUGAAGGCUGAGUAAGGGAGCGGGGUGUCUGGGUGGAGCCCAUGGCUCUGGAGUCCACCCAGCCUGGAUUCAAACCAGACCCACCAUUUGCCAGAGCCACACGGGCAGGGAUCUGAGCCCCCUGGGCCUGUUCCUGUCCCUGUGAACGAGAACUAGCUUCCUUACCGCUGUGACCCCAGAUCAAAAGCUCCCUGUGAGUGUGAACUGCUCCAUGCUUGGCGACCACCCUGGCUCUGGGUGCCAGGGCCUGGGGUGAGGCCACCAGUGUGUCACUGCUCUCCAGACUUCCAACUUCUUGAACUUGAAUUUCCCCCCUUGUUGGGUUGAUCUUUGACUCUCGGCAACAAGCUUGAUCUUGCUGCCAAAGGCCACCAAAGGGGAAUAAAUCACAGGCCCAGAACGUGAUCCCGUGGCUAAUCUAAGCAGUCA